GGAGAGAUGGCUGAGUGGUUGAAAGCGCCCGCCUCGAAAGCGGGUGAACGGUUACCCGUUCCGUGAGUUCAAAUCUCACUCUCUCCGCCA
RNAcentral lists this transfer RNA (90 nucleotides) under Bacillota bacterium. RNAcentral describes it as "tRNA-Ser". It matches the Rfam family "tRNA". From Rfam's summary of the family: Transfer RNA (tRNA) molecules are approximately 80 nucleotides in length. Their secondary structure includes four short double-helical elements and three loops (D, anti-codon, and T loops). Lineage: Bacteria; Bacillati; Bacillota. The record is from RNAcentral. RNAcentral also lists the same sequence under 1 other name.